Salvelinus sp. IW2-2015 is the source of this 1713-nucleotide non-coding RNA. Lineage: Eukaryota; Metazoa; Chordata; Actinopteri; Salmoniformes; Salmonidae. The record is from RefSeq and is a predicted model, not a curated record.
UAACCAUUUUAAAUUCAGGCUGUAACAACACAGUGUGGGAGAAGUGAAAAGGUGUGAAUACUUCCUGAAGGCCACUGUACAUACAACCAUUGCUAUGGGACCAAGAACAUUGCAACAGUACUGUGAUGUUUACAGUUAAUUAUACUGUAUCACUGUGUAUAUAUAUAUAUAUAUGCCACUCAGAAAGCAUGCAGGGUAUUAUUUUAAGGUCAUUAUGGUAAGAUCAUAAAAUUAACCGUAUGAAAUAAAGAUGCGAGGAAUUUUAAGCAGGGAUUUUACUACUGAGGAAGUCGUGUGACUAAUUUGGACGAAGGACUGUCUAGAUAUAUACCUUAUUCAUGACUGACCCCAUCCGAUCUACAACCCAUAUAAAGUAUGCUAUUAUGGACCCUCCUAAUUUCUACCCUACUCAGUGAUAUUCUGAUAUAACAAUGUAAUAUUUAAGUCAGGAACUAUUGACUGCCACAGACUGACUAUCCUAAGGCUUUGUGAACUUUUGAGUGCACGUACUUUAAUAUGCAAAAUAAACAGGUUACUAUACAAUACAUUGUCCUGACUGACACUACUGUAUCCAUCACUAAUAUCCAUCCACAUCUUAACAACUGCCAAAUACAUCACAUUUUAUUGGUCUGGAAAUGUACCAUUUGAAUGGUCGGAAAGUGACUUUUGUAAAACUGUGUUGUCUGUCACCUGAAAAAACGUUUUUUUUCUUUUUUUUAUGACUUGAAAAGUGAUUAAAGAGUGGGUCCAGGGUGUUUGUCAGAUGUGUUGUUGUGGUUAUAGUGAGCUGUUUGUCAAAUGGCAUCCUACUCCUCAUACUGUAUAGUGCACUACUUUUGACCAGGGCCCAUAGACCUCGGGGCCCAUAAACCUCAGGGUCCAUAGACCUCAGGGCCCAUAGAGCUCGGGGCCCAUAGAGCUCGGGGCCCAUAGAGCUCGGGGCCCAUAGAGCUCGGGGCCCAUAGAGCUCAGGGUCCAUAGACCUCAGGGCCCAUAGAACUCGGGGCCCAUAGAGCUCGGGGCCCAUAGAGCUCGGGGUCCAUAGAGCUCGGGGCCCAUAGAGCUCGGGGCCCAUAGAGCUCAGGGCCCAUAGAGCUCAGGGCCUACAGGGUUCAGGUCAAAAGUAGUGCACUACAUGGGGAAUAAGUAUGGUGCCAUUUGGGGGACACAAUUCAUGUUGAAGUAGAUGCUUUCCGUCAGAGCUCUGGCCCUGUAUCUCUCCUUCGCCCUAAAAGCAACUCUAAUGUUUUCUAUUGAAGUUUGUAAAAUAAGCGCUUUGAAAUAAAAGAACAAAUGAUAUCUCAUACUCUAGCCUGCUCUGAAAAUGUUUAAAAAUGUAAUUUCGAUGAAAGAAAGCUUGCAUUACAUUACCCCGUUGAUUAAAGAUUUUAUUACUGAGAAUUGAUUUUUUUUCAUGUCAAUUGACUUCUUUACUUCUAGUGUGUCCCAAAUGGCACCCUAAUUCUCUUCAUAGCGCACUACUUUUGACUAGAGCACUAUGGCCCCUGGUCAAAAGUAGUGCACUAUGUAGGGAAUAGGGUGCCAUUUGGGUUGCUGGCCAUUGAUUAAGCCUUGUGUUUUGAUUGUGUAACUGAAGGUCAGGGCUGUAGUUGAUCCCUGGACUAGUGGGCCUCAUCUUUACAAGCAUUUCGCUACACUCGCAAUAACAUUUGCCAACCAUUUGUAUGUGACCAAUAAAAUUUGAUUUGAAAA